This 1343-nucleotide ribosomal RNA is filed under the name uncultured bacterium. Its description in RNAcentral is "16S ribosomal RNA". It matches the Rfam family "Bacterial small subunit ribosomal RNA", at positions 28 to 1378 of the family's 1533-position model. The record is from RNAcentral.
GACGAACGCUGGCGGCGUGCUUAACACACGCAAGUCGAACGGAAAGGCCCUGCUUUUGUGGGGUGCUCGAGUGGCGAACGGGUGAGUAACACGUGAGUAACCUGCCCUUGACUUUGGGAUAACUUCAGGAAACUGGGGCUAAUACCGGAUAGGAGCUCCUGCUGCAUGGUGGGGGUUGGAAAGUUUCGGCGGUUGGGGAUGGACUCGCGGCUUAUCAGCUUGUUGGUGGGGUAGUGGCUUACCAAGGCUUUGACGGGUAGCCGGCCUGAGAGGGUGACCGGCCACAUUGGGACUGAGAUACGGCCCAGACUCCUACGGGAGGCAGCAGUGGGGAAUAUUGCACAAUGGGCGGAAGCCUGAUGCAGCAACGCCGCGUGCGGGAUGACGGCCUUCGGGUUGUAAACCGCUUUCGCCUGUGACGAAGCGUGAGUGACGGUAAUGGGUAAAGAAGCACCGGCUAACUACGUGCCAGCAGCCGCGGUGAUACGUAGGGUGCGAGCGUUGUCCGGAUUUAUUGGGCGUAAAGGGCUCGUAGGUGGUUGAUCGCGUCGGAAGUGUAAUCUUGGGGCUUAACCCUGAGCGUGCUUUCGAUACGGGUUGACUUGAGGAAGGUAGGGGAGAAUGGAAUUCCUGGUGGAGCGGUGGAAUGCGCAGAUAUCAGGAGGGACACCAGUGGCGAAGGCGGUUCUCUGGGCCUUUCCUGACGCUGAGGAGCGAAAGCGUGGGGAGCGAACAGGCUUAGAUACCCUGGUAGUCCACGCUGUAAACGGUGGGUACUAGGUGUGGGGUCCAUUCCACGGGUUCCGUGCCGUAGCUAACGCUUUAAGUACCCCGCCUGGGGAGUACGGCCGCAAGGCUAAAACUCAAAGGAAUUGACGGGGCCCCGCACAAGCGGCGGAGCAUGCGGAUUAAUUCGAUGCAACGCGUAGAACCUUACCUGGGUUUGACAUGGAUCGGGAGCGCUCAGAGAUGGGUGUGCCUCUUUUGGGGUCGGUUCACAGGUGGUGCAUGGCUGUCGUCAGCUCGUGUCGUGAGAUGUUGGGUUAAGUCCCGCAACGAGCGCAACCCUUGUUCACUGUUGCCAGCACGUUAUGGUGGGGACUCAGUGGAGACCGCCGGGGUCAACUCGGAGGAAGGUGGGGAUGACGUCAAGUCAUCAUGCCCCUUAUGUCCAGGGCUUCACGCAUGCUACAAUGGCUGGUACAGAGAGUGGCGAGCCUGUGAGGGUGAGCGAAUCUCGGAAAGCCGGUCUCAGUUCGGAUUGGGGUCUGCAACUCAACCUCAUGAAGUCGGAGUCGCUAGUAAUCGCAGAUCAGCAACGCUGCGGUGAAUACGUUCCCGGG